UACGUAGGGUGCGAGCGUUAAUCGGAAUUACUGGGCGUAGAGCGUGCGCAGGCGGUGAUGUAAGACCGAUGUGAAAUCCCCGGGCUUAACCUGGGAACUGCAUUGGUGACUGCAUUGCUCGAGUAUGGCAGAGGGGGGUGGAAUUCCACGUGUAGCAGUGAAAUGCGUAGAGAUGUGGAGGAACACCGAUGGCGAAGGCAGCCCCCUGGGCCAAUACUGACGCUCAUGCACGAAAGCGUGGGGAGCAAACAGG
This 253-nucleotide ribosomal RNA is filed under the name uncultured bacterium. Its description in RNAcentral is "partial 16S ribosomal RNA". It matches the Rfam family "Bacterial small subunit ribosomal RNA", at positions 524 to 776 of the family's 1533-position model. The record is from RNAcentral.